RNAcentral lists this ribosomal RNA (550 nucleotides) under uncultured bacterium. RNAcentral describes it as "bacterial SSU rRNA". It matches the Rfam family "Bacterial small subunit ribosomal RNA", at positions 777 to 1325 of the family's 1533-position model. The record is from RNAcentral.
AAUAGAUACCCGGUAGUCCACGCCGUAAACGAUGAGUGCUAAGUGUUGGGGGGUUUCCGCCCCUCAGUGCUGCAGCCAACGCAUUAAGCACUCCGCCUGGGGAGUACGGUCGCAAGACUGAAACUCAAAGGAAUUGACGGGGGCCCGCACAAGCGGUGGAGCAUGUGGUUUAAUUCGAAGCAACGCGAAGAACCUUACCAGGUCUUGACAUCCCGGUGACCACUAUGGAGACAUAGUUUCCCCUUCGGGGGCAACGGUGACAGGUGGUGCAUGGUUGUCGUCAGCUCGUGUCGUGAGAUGUUGGGUUAAGUCCCGCAACGAGCGCAACCCUUAUUCUUAGUUGCCAUCAUUCAGUUGGGCACUCUAAGGAGACUGCCGGUGAUAAACCGGAGGAAGGUGGGGAUGACGUCAAAUCAUCAUGCCCCUUAUGACCUGGGCUACACACGUGCUACAAUGGACGGUACAAACGGUUGCCAACCCGCGAGGGGGAGCUAAUCCGAUAAAACCGUUCUCAGUUCGGAUUGUAGGCUGCAACUCGCCUACAUGAACG